UAAAAGAAAAUCACAAAAGUUUAACUUUUAGAAUCCCCAAAUCACCCCCAGCAAUCCCUAACUCCUUCCUCACUGAUCCCGUUUCUCUACGGUCGCCGCGAUUCAUAUUUUCCGGCCAGUGAACUUCACAAUUCUUCUCCGACCACCGCCGUAUACGCCGCCAUCUCCGUCUCCGUCUCCAUUGCCUGUGGAUUUUGAAGCACAAGAGAAGAAGGGCCCUGGAUUGACCAUUCCAACAAGUCGUCCACAUAGCUUUCUGGGUUGCGAACUAUAAUUGAGACAUAAGGAAGCGUCUGCACUAGGCAGACUCCAUGUGGGGAUGAUCUUUUACUAGUCAAGUCGAGGAAUGAAUGCCUGUUAAGGACUUGAUUAGCUGAUCUGCCAUUGUAGGGUUCCAUCCUCAAGCUAUUAUCAGCUUGGGAAAGGACGAAUUCGCUUCAUUUUGAAGUAGGCGUGCUAUGGAAUUGAAUGCUAGUGUGUCCACAAAAAGGACAAUGAACUCUAGGAAGACAGAUAUCGGAGGUAAACCCUUCAUACUCAUCAUUUGUGGCAGCCUCGUUUACUACCACUGUGCCUAUCGGAAUUCUAGUCUUGUCUCUCUCAUCUCAGACGUCUUUAUUGUACUCCUUUGUUCCCUUGCCAUUCUCGGACUCCUCUUUCGCCAGAUGAACAUCUCGGUACCUGUGGAUCCGCUUGAGUGGCAGAUCUCUCAGGACGCUGCCAACAUGUUUUUUGCCUGCCUCGCCAAUACCGUCGGUGCUGCUGAGUCUGUUCUACGUGUUGCUGCUACUGGCCAUGAUAAGCGCUUGUUCCUUAAGGUUGUGGCUGCUCUGUAUGUUCUAUCAUCUCUGGGAAGGAUAGCUUCGGGUGUUACCAUUGCGUAUGCUGGUCUCUGCUUUCUUUGCCUUUAUAUGCUCGCUGAGAACUUGCAAUUGAUUAGCUCGAGGUAUCCUAGGAGAAGAGACAGCACGGACACAGUUCAGGACGACUAAAUUGAUUUGAUCUGGUUCAAAAGGGAUGAAGGAGUCAAUGCAUUAUUUUCAGCUCUUGCUUCUAGUUAUGCCAGGAGAAUCCUAGCCAACUGUUGAAAGGUGUCAAAUUUUGCUAAAGUAUGAUACAGAGUCAUUAGAGAAUCAUAUUUGAAGAUUGUUACUUGAACUAGGGGUGUCAAAAUGAGCGCAAAUAUGGGUAACCUGCCCAAUUUGUCCAGAAUUUUAUGGGCAGUGCUCAAGAUAAUUUGAGUUAGGUUCAAUCUCAAUCUCAAUCUCAAUCAUUGCAUUAAUGUAAUGUAUGUUCUCAUAUUUAAGAUAUGAAUUACUAUCUAUUUUAUAUCUUCUACUAUUUA
Solanum pennellii is the source of this 1345-nucleotide RNA transcript. It is a transcript of the gene named reticulon-like protein B22, with no coding region annotated. The record is from RefSeq and is a predicted model, not a curated record. The transcript is spliced from 3 exons. NCBI's taxonomy places the organism in Eukaryota, Viridiplantae, Streptophyta, Magnoliopsida, Solanales, Solanaceae.